AUUGAACGCUGGCGGCAUGCCUUACACAUGCAAGUCGAACGGCAGCACGGGAGCAAUCCUGGUGGCGAGUGGCGAACGGGUGAGUAAGUAUAUCGGAACGUGCCCGGUCGUGGGGAUAACGUAGCGAAAGCUACGCUAAUACCGCAUACGAUCUACGGAUGAAAGCGGGGGAUCGCAAGACCUCGCGCGAUUGGAGCGGCCGAUAUCAGAUUAGGUAGUUGGUGAGGUAAAGGCUCACCAAGCCGACGAUCUGUAGCUGGUCUGAGAGGACGACCAGCCACACUGGGACUGAGACACGGCCCAGACUCCUACGGGAGGCAGCAGUGGGAAUUUUGGACAAUGGCGCAAGCCUGAUCCAGCAAUGCCGCGUGCAGGAUGAAGGCCUUCGG
Molecule: ribosomal RNA, 389 nt
Filed under: uncultured bacterium
Lineage: Bacteria
Description: bacterial SSU rRNA
Rfam family: Bacterial small subunit ribosomal RNA
Source: RNAcentral